CUAGAUAAAUGUGGUUGAGUAUGUUACACAGAGCUGGAAGGAGCUGUCAGAUGCCAGUCUCGGGGCAGCUUUGGACCAGCCACCUACGUGUAGAGAUCCCUGAGCACCAUGGCCCCUUCCCUCUCCUCACGUCCUGCUGAGGCUCUGUCUGAGUAAAGUGAUGCAGGACCAUUAUUGCUACACCUACAGCAACAACAAUCUGGAAUACAACAUCUUCUGAUGGAUAAAGAAUCCUCUGAUGGAUGAAGAAGGAACAAUGAUUGCU
Molecule: long non-coding RNA, 265 nt
Organism: Nothoprocta perdicaria
Lineage: Eukaryota; Metazoa; Chordata; Aves; Tinamiformes; Tinamidae
Exons: 2
Source: RefSeq, a predicted model, not a curated record